RNAcentral lists this transfer RNA (72 nucleotides) under Macrochirichthys macrochirus (sward minnow). Its description in RNAcentral is "tRNA-Val". It matches the Rfam family "tRNA". From Rfam's summary of the family: Transfer RNA (tRNA) molecules are approximately 80 nucleotides in length. Lineage: Eukaryota; Metazoa; Chordata; Actinopteri; Cypriniformes; Xenocyprididae. The record is from RNAcentral.
CAGAAUGUAGCUAAAUAAGUAAAGCAUCUCACUUACACCGAGAAGACAUCCAUGCAAUUCGGAUCAUCCUGA